Non-coding RNA from Paramuricea clavata, 422 nucleotides. The record is from the annotation of a GenBank genome assembly. NCBI's taxonomy places the organism in Eukaryota, Metazoa, Cnidaria, Anthozoa, Malacalcyonacea, Plexauridae.
GGCCCUGCUUGGUAUAGUAUGAACACAAGCCAUAAUGAGGAUCGCAACAAUACAGCAAUAACAUGCUAUUUUCACGAAGUUUUGCAGCCUGACAAUCUUGUAUUUCCAAUGCUUUCAUAUUUGUUUACUCAGAGAGAUGGUCACUCCACGACAGUCAAAGAGUCAUUGAAGCCACGCCUGGAAUUAGGCACUCAAACCCAUGAUGCUUUGCGGCCUGCUUGUCGAACCUCCUCUGGUUAAUUGGUUAACGGCAGGGACUUGUUAAAACAAUGACUUUCAUUGGCUGUUUGUCCUUCAAGAUAUUAUCGUUCAGAAUCCGUACAGGCCAUGGCGCUGUUGUUUAAAUAUAAUAUUAUAUUUAUAACAUAUUCAAGCGUAAAUAUAUAUGCCUCUAGUUUUACGACUUGCGAGUUUUGCGAGGA